This 120-nucleotide ribosomal RNA is filed under the name Sorex araneus (European shrew). Lineage: Eukaryota; Metazoa; Chordata; Mammalia; Eulipotyphla; Soricidae. The record is from RNAcentral.
GUCUACGGCCAUACCACCCUGAACGCGCCCGAUCUCGUCUGAUCUCAGAAGCUAAGCAGGGUCGGGCCUGGUUAGUACUUGGAUGGGAGAAGCUCUUGGAAGUAAAGGGAGAGGUGAAUA